CUCAGGCUAUGAUUUUUCUCUCAUUGUUCUUCAUUUUCUCUUCUUCAUGGAAAAAUAAAAGUAGAUUCCAAUGGAGACUCUUGCAGGAAGAAGGUGAAACUUUCUCUUCCUUAAUCUCCACUUUCUCUUUAACGGUUUUCAUUCUUCUUUUUCUUAAACAAAAACAUGAAAAAAUGUUUGAGAGAUGCAAUACCAGGGAUAGAAGAAGAAUUAGCAAAAAAAGGUUUUUGAUAUCAAAUCAUGGAGUUGCGAUUGUAAGUUAAGGAGUCUUUUACUCAAUGGUUUUGUUCUAAAGUUGAUUAAUGAUAAUUUGGAUUAGAUUUUAUCCCUAAAGCAAAAAAUUGAGAAUUAGGGUUCUUAUAUGGAUUGUUCAUAAUUUGUUGGUUAACUUCAAGUCAUGUAAAAUUGUAUAUAUGAGUUCGUGUGCUUUAACCUAAAUCAUGUUUUGUCAUGAAUUUCUUCACAGGAUACUUGAUUUGAAAUAUUAUUUGUGGAUUAGGGCUAUUGGUUGUCAAUUUGGGUUUUUGGUGUAGCUCAUGAUAUUCUGAUAAUUGCUAUCAUUAUGCGUAGUUCAUACUAUCCAAAAAAAAAUGACGAACUACGGUCGUGCUUGAUCCUUCGAGCAACGGAGAGAGUACGUAGGCAGCUGCUAUGUGGUUCAGCACAACUCUGCAUGGUUGUUCAUAUCAUCUGAAAGUGUUGGUUGCUGUUUUGGCAGUUCAUACCAUCUAUUCGGAGAUGAUUGCAACCUUGACAACUGGCCAUGAAAUUCUUAGAAGUGGCAACUGGCCAUGGAAAUCUUAGAAGAAGUGGCAACUGGCCAUGGAAAUAUCGGAAGUGGCAACUGGUCAUGGAAAUAGUAGAAGUGGCAAUUGGCCAUGGAAAUCUCAGAAGUGGCAACUGCCCAUGGAAAUAUCGGAAGUAGCAACUGGCCAUGGAAUUCUUAGAAGUGGUCUAUCAUUUUUAUCAACUGGCCGUUUCUCAUUUUGAAAACUGGUUGUCUCCUAUAAUUGGAGAAUGAAUGUUUAUAAUGCAGUUUGGGUGUUUGAAAAAUUUGCAGGUCCGAUUUCUCAAGUGGAGUAUCAGAGAGUCGGAGUUUUCUUAGCGGGACGAAACCGGUGUGCUGGAAGUCCAGAUUUUCUGAUCCGUCACAAUUGGUAUCAGAGUAGUUCCGGUUCAAACAGGACUGUGCGUUUUGGAACUCACCAGUCUCCUGCUUGUGCGGUGACUACAUGUAUUACUCAUAACUUCCUGUUUAUUUUGAACUUCGGGACGAAGUUCUUUUUAAGGGGUUAAUGGUGUGAUAAUCCAAAUUUUUAGGUUGUGUUAAUCUUAUGUGCGUUCCUUUAUUUGUAGUGUGACAAUUUAGUUGUUCUUUUAAAAAAUAUCUAGGUGCUUGAAUCCAAGAUGAGGUCUUCCUUAAGCGAAAGUGUAGAUGCCUUCAUAGAUUGACAUGCAGCUAGACACCUCACCAUCUGUUUGGGACUCUUUUUGACCAGAAAGCUUUAAGAGAGAAAUAGAAGAAAAAAAAAACUCAGGCUAUGAUUUUUAUCUCAUUAUUCUUCAUUUUCUCUUCUUCAUGGAAAAAAUAAAAGUAGAUUCCAAUGGAGACUCUUGCAGGAAGAAGGUGAAACUUUCUCUUCCUUAAUCUCCACUUUCUCUUUAACGGUUUUCAUUCUUCUUUUUCUUAAACAAGAACAUGAACAAAAUGUUUGAGAGAUGGUAAUGCUAGGGAUAGAAGAAGAAUCAGCAAAAAAAAAAUUUUGAUAUCAAAUCAUGGAGUUGCGAUUGUAAGUUAAGGAGACUUUUACUCAAUGGUUUUGUUCUAAAGUUGAUUAACGAUAAUUUGGAUUUGAUUUUAUCCCUAAAGCAAAAAAUUGAGAAUUAGGGUUCUUAUAUGGAUUGUCCAUAAUUUGUUGGUUAACUUCAAGUCAUGUAAAAUUGUAUAUAUGGGAUCGUGUGGUUUAACCUAAAUCAUGUUUUGUCGUGAAUUUCUUCACAUGAUACUUGAUUUGAAAUACUAUUUGUGGAUUAGGGCUAUUGGUUGUCAAUUGGGGUUUUUGGUGUAACUCAUGAUAUUCUGGUAAAUUGCUGAUUUUGGUAUCAUCUUAUAAUUAUCAUGAAUUGUUUUAAUGCUGAUUUGAUGGUAGUAAUUCUUAGUAAUUUUCACGAACAAUGGUUCUUUGAAUAUCUUUGAUACAAUUUUGUAAAAUCCCUAAAAUGCAUGUGUUUAUUCUGACCAUAUCUUAAAUUUCAACCGUUGGAAUGUGAUGAUAUUUUAGUAUAUUGUUAUAUACUAUGUCAUAAUGAUACUUUAAAUUUUUGGGGCUGAUCAGACAAGGUUGAGAACCGAAAACCCUAGAGUAACUAGGAUUGCUUUUUGCUGAAUUCAUAACUAAGGACAGUAACUGUUUGUAGCGUUUUCCAUAUCUGUGUAUUGAACAAAGAUGAAACUUUGGUGAGUUGUUAAGAAAAGUACAGGUAAGACACUGUAAAAAUUUCAUGAAAAUCCGAUCAUUAUAGGUACCCAAAAGUAUGGGAGACUCGUGACUGGAUUUCAGUAUGUUGAUACAGAAAUCCAGUCACGUUGUGAUGUAAAUAUAUCUUUAAUGAACCGUUGGAAUAUUCUGAUUUUUGAAUAUCAUGUUGUUCCCUAAGUUGCAAGGCUACUGUAAGAAUUUUAACACGAUCGGGUAACAUUAGAUACUGAAAAUGUUGGAUCAACUGGGACUGCUGUAAUCAAGUUUAGUUGAAUUGGUUUGAAUUUUUGGGAAAAUGUGAUUAAGGUUAUUAUAAAACUUGUGGCCCUUCCCCAAAUAUUUUUAUAUGUAUAUUUUGCAUCUCAAUAUAUAUAUAUAUCUCGUGCUCUAACGACAUUUGAAUUAUGACUUUUGUAUACGAGCUUUUAUGUCGUAUUCCGCUUCAAGUAAUUUUUGAAGUACAAGAGGUAGUGAUUCAGUCCAUUAUGUGGGCUUAUGGAUGAGCUAAUAUCCACAUUCUUGACUCUGAUUGUUAAGUAUAUAUGCACAUACAUAUUCCUUCAUCAGUAAUGUGCCCCAGCUGUUAUUAAUAUACUUUUACCAUGUGUUUGCUUUUCUAGUAUCAAACAUAUAACAGGUUCACCAUUUGCUUGAUGGGAAUAGCUUUGCUACCCGACGAGUAGAUGAUACAGAAAACGGAAAUGUCAUUAUCACCUUAUCUCUUCAUUUCAAGUAAAGUAGUUCUACUAUGUUGUUGUUCAAUUCAAUAAUAUAUCUCAUCCAAUUAUCCUUUUAUUUUAUAUGGCAUUAGUUUUAGACCUUUAAGGUCGUGAUAUUUUGGUACUAGAUAUAUAAUGCUAGCUAUUAUAAGUCAGACAUUAAAUUACUGUCAUAUUUCAGUGAGAUACUCUAUUGAUGUGCAAGUUAGUUCACUUUAGCUAGGAAAGCUUACCCUUUUAUUUUGGGAAUUUAUAAAUGUUAGUUAGAUAAUACUUCUGAAAGUGAAAUACAGACUUAUGACUACUACUAUCAUAGAUUGAUCGGUUUCGCUAUCUCAUAAGAGUGUGUAGAUGGAUUUCGUAUUUAGAUACUUUUCUUGCUUGUUGUUAUUGUGCCUCAAGGUUCCACUUGAGUUUUGAAUGAUGAUGCUGCGAUGUGAGAUUAUUAUAAUGAUUGUGAGGUCAAGUGGUAAUCUCUUUGUUGUCUUAGAAGGCAUAUUAUGUCCAUGGUUUCACAAGACAACAUUUUCGUUUGUCAUUGAUGAAGCAUGAUAAAGUUUGAUUGAAAGUUUUAGCGAUAGCCAUGUGGUGACAGUAACAGCCGAACGAGAUUAUAAGUUUUUCAGUGGUCAAUGUUCAUGUAUUUUCUGUUUGUAUCUUGAUAGUAAGAAUUACUCGGCCUAUUUUAGGGACUUCGGGAUCAGGUAUAAGUCCCCUAACCUAUUUAGGAAUUAUACAACCUACGUGUGAAAGUCUUUUUGUUAUUCGUGGUGUACGCAUAUCUGGUUGAUUUACUUUGAGUAAGUAGUAUAAAAAUCCCAUGUGACUUGUUAAUUUGGUAUGGACUAUAUUAUCACUGUUUCAAUUGUUUCUAAAUGUUCUUUCCUACAUAAAUAAGAUGGAUGAAUGACAUUGGGAAUCUUUGAUUUAGUCAGUGUAGUACUUUACUCGUAAUUCAUUAUGAAUACUGCAAGUGGAAUAAGUUUACUUGAUGUUUGAUAAGAGAUAGCUGUAACCAUUAUGUGUAGUUCAUACUAUCCAAAACAAAAAAUGACGAACUACGGUUGUGCUUGAUCCCUUCGAGCAAAGGAGAGGGUGCGUAGGCAGCCGAUAUGCGGUUCAACACAACUCUGCAUGGUUGUUCAUAUCGGAAAGUGUUGGUCGUUGUUUUGGCAGUUCAUACCAUCUAUUCGGAGAUGAUUGCAACCUUGACAAUGGCAACUGGCCAUGGAAAUCUUAGAAGCAGUGGCAACUGGCCAUGGAAAUAUUGGAAGUGGCAACUGGCCAUGAAAUUCUUAGAAGUGGCAACUGGCCAUGGAAAUCUUGGAAGAAGUGGCAACUGGCCAUGGAAAUCCCAUAAGUGGCAACUGGCCAUGGAAAUCUCAGAAGUGGCAAUUGGCCAUGGAAAUAUCGAAAGUGGCAACUGGCCAUGGAAUUCUUAGAAGUGGCAAGUGGCCAUAUAAGUCUAUGAUUUUUGGCAAUUGGCCGUUUCUCAUUUUGACAACUGGUCGUCUCCCAUAAUUGGAGAAUGAAUGAUAAGUGUGCCUGCUUAUAAUGCAGUUUGGGUGUUUGAAAAA
Papaver somniferum (opium poppy) is the source of this 4776-nucleotide long non-coding RNA. RefSeq lists it as uncharacterized. The record is from RefSeq and is a predicted model, not a curated record. The transcript is spliced from 2 exons. Lineage: Eukaryota; Viridiplantae; Streptophyta; Magnoliopsida; Ranunculales; Papaveraceae.